UCUCUCAUAUCAAUACAAUAACAACCACGACAUCAAUUUCAAUACCCUGUAUAAUUCACAAACACACAAGCAUACUCCAAACCCUGAAACAAACAACUUUCAAUCCAAAGAAUUUGAUCGAGACAAUUCCUUUGAUUACAAUUUCUUUCCACUAAACUCACAACCUUGUGAUAAACAGUGACUAGAAACUUCUAUAUAUCUUCAAUCUUUCACAUCAAUUGAUAAAUUGUGAUUUAUAAACAACUUCGUAAAUCAAACAUUGAUUCAUUAAAGUAAUUCUCUUCACUAGAAUUAACACUAACACAAAAGAAACAAGAAAACUAAGAAGAAGAGAUAGCACCAAGCUUAUCUCGAUUUAUUAUUAUUAUAGUCUGGUAUUUUCUUCCUCAUUGAUUCAUUAAAGCACUUCUCUUCACUAGAAUUAACACUAACACAAAAGAAACAAGAAAACUAAGAAGAAGAGAUAGCACCAAGCUUAUCUCGAUUUAUUAUUAUUAUAGUCUGGUAUUUUCUUCCUCUCUCCCAUCCUCCUUAUACUACCUCGGGAUACCAACUCCUAUACUAUGGAUGAUAACUACUUUUCUUGACUAUUUAUCCAUUCUACCUGCAGAACCACCUUUUUAAUAGUGAUCUAUCCGUGUUUACACUAUACACUAGAUAUCUACGUUCUAAAAAUAACUACUUAUUCUACAUAGCCUCACUCCUAAGUAUAUAGUGUCUCCGUUGUCGGGGUAGAGAGAGUUUGCCUCAAGAAAGCGCUGGGCUUCUGGCUGUCACUAAAUACUCAAUCAAGUUUGAAAUAUAAGGGUAACAAUUUUAUAUAUAUAAACUCCUCUCUUUUGGAGCAAUUACAUCAAUAUACAAGCCUUAAAAUCCAAAGAACACCAAAAUACUUGAUAAGGUGUUAUAAAAAACUUAUAUAUCCUUAUGAGGAAUUUUUCCCGAAGUUCAAUAGCUCAUAACUUACGAUCUAACCGUCUAAACAACUCCAAAUUUUACAUGGAGUACUGAUAUAUCUUUAGCAACUAUCACACCAAAAUUCAACCGUAAAUUCGUCUUGGAUCUUGUGAUAUCUUGAAAACCCUAACUGUAGCUUCAAACCCUAGCUUUUUUACACCCAUGUACAACUUCCUUCAUAUCUCACAAAGUAAUUAUUCAAAUACUAUGAAACUUUGAUCUAAAGAUUUUUAACCCAAUUACACACACUUGUGGAAAUUUUGAGCCAAAAAUUCGUCUAGAAACUCAAGAUAUGGCUUCACCUAUAACUAGCAACAAAACGAUAUACUUACUGCCUUCAAAUUACAAGUGCUGUCUUCAACGCCUCAUAACUCCUUCACCCAAUCUUAGAAUUCACUAUACAGUAAGUAGAAUGUAUAGCUGAGAAAAUGCUCUCUCCAAAUCCAGUCGCCGAUCUUCCGUUGCUCUCCGUGUUCGUAUGUGAUGCCCAAAAGAAGUGACAGUAGGUACGAAAUUAACACCUUAUCUUUGAACAUUCAUAUCUUUUUCAUAAAAACUCGAAAUCACACAAAAUCUUCACCCAAAUUAUACCCAAAACCCUAAACCUUCUGACCCUAGCC
Molecule: long non-coding RNA, 1577 nt
Filed under: Physcomitrium patens
Lineage: Eukaryota; Viridiplantae; Streptophyta; Bryopsida; Funariales; Funariaceae
Description: long non-coding RNA (PPAT_LNC010910)
Source: RNAcentral